Molecule: unclassified non-coding RNA, 437 nt
Filed under: Mycobacterium sp. 2000-301223
Lineage: Bacteria; Bacillati; Actinomycetota; Actinomycetes; Mycobacteriales; Mycobacteriaceae
Description: 16S-23S ribosomal RNA intergenic spacer
Source: RNAcentral
CUAAGGAGCACCGAUACCGGAUUCCCCCGUGCCUUACUGGAUGUGAGGGUUGUUCACGGUUGGGAGAGUGCGCCGGGGCCUGUAGUGGGUUUCCCGGUGGGUGCGCAACAACAAACGUUUUCGCGUGAAGUGACGUCGUGAAGUGACGUUGAGUGGCUUUGCGUGGAGGGAUUGCCAGACACACUGUUGGGUCCUGAGACAGCAGACCCGUGGGUUUUGCCUGGCUGUGAUGGCUGGGUGGGGCCGGCCCUCUUGUUGGGGGUGGGUUGUUGUCGCCUCAUCUUGGUGGUGGGGUGUGGUGUUUGAGUUGUGGAUAGUGGUUGCGAGCAUCCAAGCGAUGGCCGUGUGUUCCUGCUCUGGGGGGUUUCCUUCGGGGUGGGGGUGGUUGUUGUUUGGUUGUGCAAUUUUGUUGUUUGAACACAUUUUUGGUUUUUGUG